Long non-coding RNA from Micropterus dolomieu (smallmouth bass), 1892 nucleotides. RefSeq lists it as uncharacterized. The record is from RefSeq and is a predicted model, not a curated record. The transcript is spliced from 2 exons. NCBI's taxonomy places the organism in Eukaryota, Metazoa, Chordata, Actinopteri, Centrarchiformes, Centrarchidae.
UGAGACAUCCUGAACUGGACCAAACCGGGCCGAGACAUACUGAACUGGACCAAACCGGACUGAGACAUUCUGAACCGAACAAAACUGGACCGAGACUUCCUGUAAGGGACCAAACUGGACUGAGACAUCCUGAACUGGACCAAACCGGGCCGAGACAUCCUGAACUGGACCAAACCGGGCCGAGACUUCCUGUAAGGGACCAAACUGGACUGAGACAUCCUCAACUGGACCAAACCAGACUGAGACAUCCUGAACUGGACCAAACCGGGCCGAGACAUCCUGAACUGGACUAAACCGGACUGAGACAUCCUGAACUGGACCAAACCGGGCCGAGACAUCCUGAACUGGACCAAACCGGACUGAGACAUUCUGAACCGAACAAAACCGGACCGAGACUUCCUGUAAGGGACCAAACUGGACUGAGACAUCCUGAAUUGGACCAAACCAGACUGAGACAUCCUGAACUGGACCAAACCGGGCCGAGACAUCCUGAACCGGACCAAACCGGACCGAGACUUCCUGUAAGGGACCAAACUGGACCGAGACUUCCUGUAAGGGACCAAACCGGGCCGAGACAUCCUGAACCGGACCAAACCGGACCGAGACAUCCUGUAAGGGACCAAACCGGACCGAGACUUCCUGUAAGGGACCAAACCGGACCGAGACUUCCUGUAAGGGACCAAACCGGACUGAGACACUGCCAUUUGUACCUGCUGGACUGUGUGUGUGAUUUAAAGACCUUGUAAACGUCAGAAGCUGAUUAAUGUGUUUAUGUAGUUGUUAAUGUGUUUUUAUAUCUGUAUGUGUGAACAGCAUUUCCCAGCAUCCUCCUGGCCUCUGGGUGACACUGGAGAUAAAGAAAUGUGACGCCAGGACUCUGCCAAAUGCAGAUGUGGCAGCAGAAUCCGUGUUGACGGGUUCUCACUCCCAGAGCGCCAGAUAGCUUCGCCCAGUAACGUCCUUCAGCGUCACAGUUCAACACAGAAAGUACAGCUACAUAUAAAUCCGAGUAAGGGGGGGCAGAAACCGGACUUUCACCCAGGAGACCGGUGUUCAUUUCCCGUUUGAUACAUUAAGUCUACAUUUUAGUGAUGUUUUCCUGAAUCCUAACCCUAACCGGACCAAACUGCGACCUUUCACAACUUCAUCCACUGGUUUUAUUUUGAAAGGCUAACCGGAUGUUGCACAGUUGUUCUUGCUAACUGCAGCCAAGCUAAUUAUAGUUCAGUUUAUUUGGUUUAGUUACUCACUUGGUUUUGGUCCUGGUUUCGCCUUCCCUCCUCUUUGUGUCUCUGUUUGAAAUGUGGUUCAUGUUAAUUCAGUGAGAAACUCCUGGACUUUAACAGCUCCUGUGUUUCAUGGUCAGAGUCCCUCCCACAGAUCUGUGUUCCACCAUAUGAUGAAGUCCACCCGCCCUUUACUCCGCGCUGCGUUACCGUAUCGAUCCUCUGGUGGUGACGUUACCCCCGUCAGACCGUCAGACCGCCGCAGGUUGGGACUGCACGCUGCACGUGAAACCGACACAGGCAGAAAUCUCUCCACAGAUCCACACAGGUUAACUUCAGCAGCUCACAGUCCCACACAGAGCAGGCUGGCUUCAGCUGGCUGGACUCGCAGCUCGAGCGGCGCGGUUAAAUGCCGGCGUUGCAUCAGCUCGGCGGAGUUGAUUCGCUCUGUGCUGAAGGUUCCUGUACCAAAAAUAUUUUACGGCUCUUCUGUAAAACAGUUGUUUUGUGUUGUGCGUCCUGUUUCUGCCGGUUUUGGAAGUGUUUUAUAUGAUUGUUAUAUUUCUGACAGCAUUUGAAAGCAGCAUCUGUGUGUGUGUAACGUGGUUUGUCCUCACUGUGGUGAGUGUUUGUGUUUGUUGCUGAUAUUAAAGUAUUUUUUAUAUA